Molecule: non-coding RNA, 24 nt
Filed under: Arabidopsis thaliana (thale cress)
Lineage: Eukaryota; Viridiplantae; Streptophyta; Magnoliopsida; Brassicales; Brassicaceae
Source: RNAcentral
GGAUGGUCAUUCUCCAGAGGUGGA